GCUUGUCUCAAAGAUUAAGCCAUGCAUGUCUAAGUAUAAGCACCCUUAUACUGCGAAACUGCGUACAGCUCAUUAUAUCAGCAAUUAUUUAUUUGAAGGUCACCUAUUACAUGGAUAACCGUGGUAAUUCUAGAGCUAAUACAUGCGAAAAGUCGGCGCAAGUCGAUGUAUUUAUUAGAUCAAAACCAAACGGCUUCGGCCGUCUCAUUGGUGACUCUGAAUAACUUUGGGCUGAUCGUAUGGCCUUGUGCCGACGACGUUUCCUUCGAAGGUGUGCCCUAUCAACUGUCGACUGUGAUAUAGACGCUCACAGUGGUUUUGACGGGUAACGGGGAAUCAGGGUUCGAUUCCGGAGAGGGAGCCUUAAAAACGGCUACCACAUCCAAGGAAGGCAGCAGG
Molecule: ribosomal RNA, 399 nt
Filed under: Crustacea environmental sample
Lineage: Eukaryota; Metazoa; Arthropoda
Description: partial small subunit ribosomal RNA
Rfam family: Eukaryotic small subunit ribosomal RNA
Source: RNAcentral